UCUGGUUGAUCCUGCCAGUAGUCAUAUGCUUGCAUUUAAGAUUAAGCCAUGCAUGUCUAAGUAUAAGCAAUUAUACAGCGAAACUGCGAAUGGCUCAUUAUAUAAGUUAUCGUUUAUUUGAUAGUACCUUACUACUUGGAUAACCGUGGUAAUUCUAGAGCUAAUACAUGCUAAAAAUCUCGACUUCGGAAGAGAUGUAUUUAUUAGAUUAAAAACCAAUGCCCUUCGGGGCUCCUUGGUGAUUCAUGAUAACUUCACGAAUCGCAUGGCCUUGCGCCGGCGAUGGUUCAUUCAAAUUUCUUCCCUAUCAACUUUCGAUGUUUGGGUAUUGGCCAAACAUGGUUGCAACGGGUAACGGAGGGUUAGGGCUCGACCCCGGAGAAGGAGCCUGAGAAACGGCUACUACAUCCAAGGAAGGCAGCAGGCGCGCAAAUUUUCCAAUCCCGACACGGGGAGAAAGUGACGAUAAAUACUGAUACAGGGCUCUUUAGGGUCUUGUAAUUGGAAUGAGUACAAUUCAAAUCUCUUAACGAGGAACAAUUGGAGGGCAAGUCUGGUA
RNAcentral lists this ribosomal RNA (559 nucleotides) under uncultured eukaryote. RNAcentral's name for it is "SSU rRNA". It matches the Rfam family "Eukaryotic small subunit ribosomal RNA", at positions 1 to 566 of the family's 1831-position model. The record is from RNAcentral.